CCUACGGGUGGCUGCAGUGAGGAAUAUUGGUCAAUGGACGAGAGUCUGAACCAGCCACGUAGCGUGAAGGAUGACUGCCCUAUGGGUUUUAAACUUCUUUUAUAUGGGAGUACAACGGUCCACGUGUGGGAUUUUGGAUAUACCUUAUGACUAAGGAUCGGCUAACUCCGUGCCAGAAGCCGCGGUAAUACGGAGGAUCCAAGCGUUAUCCGGAUUUAUUGGGUUUAAAGGGAGCGUAGUUGGAUUGGUAAGUCAGUUGUGAAAGUUCGCGGCUCAACCGUAAAAUUGCAGUUGACACUGGCAGUCUUGAGUACAGGAGAGGUGAGCGGAAUUCGUGGUGUAGCGGUGAAAUGCUUAGAUAUCACGAAGAACACCGAUUGCGAAGGCAGCUGACUGGACGGCAACUGACGGUGAGGCGCGAAAGUGUGGGGAUCAAACAGGAUUAGAUACCCGGGUAGUC
This 460-nucleotide ribosomal RNA is filed under the name uncultured bacterium. RNAcentral's name for it is "partial 16S ribosomal RNA". It matches the Rfam family "Bacterial small subunit ribosomal RNA", at positions 338 to 795 of the family's 1533-position model. The record is from RNAcentral.